CAGUCGUACCGGCGGAUAAUCAACCUUUAGAUGCGAUUUUGUGGAGCGUCAAGAGUUAAACGCCUUCAUGCCUGCAUAUUCGUAUACUUUGGGUGUACUUAUUCGUGUGGUAAGUUAACAUCAAUUUUGGUGAUCAUAAAAUGACUAGAGGAAUGUAGCUUCGAUCUCGUAUUGAAGUGUUAUAGCCUUCGGGUAGAUGUGAUGAUCGGGAUUGGAGGAUUGCAACGGAUACCCUUCGGGGCUACCUGUCUGGUCUCUGAUCGUUGCUCUGGUGCCGAAAGCUUGCUUACGGUUAUCAAAGUCGAUGGUCAAUAGGUUAGAAUGGGUUAAA
Molecule: ribosomal RNA, 331 nt
Filed under: Glomus sp. (unid)
Lineage: Eukaryota; Fungi; Glomeromycota; Glomeromycetes; Glomerales; Glomeraceae
Source: RNAcentral